GAAAUAAUUCUGGGUUUGGGGAAUGUUAGGAAACAUAAGUAUAUUAUAAAAGAAUCUGUUAAACCAAAUAUCAAUAGAUUUAACAGACCAUACCACAUUAUAACAUUUCUUUUACAAUGCUGUGUUCUUAAAAUCAUAAUCAGCAUCAGAAUAUCUUACAAUUGUAUAAAUUUCAGAGUAAUUUAUUUGUCUCUUUAAAGUUUGACAUUAUAUAAACACUUGUCUAUUGAAGAAAUUUGUGUGUUGAUCUUUAUUUAUAUGUGAUGAUGGUCUGCUGUUUUAUUGACAAAUACUCCACAUCUCUUAUUAUUGAUACUGUGUACUAGAUCAGUUAAGAAGGAAGAAAUUAAACAUGGGAGGCAUUUUUUUUUGGUAUCAUAUAAAUUUGUUAUUUAGUUUUGGUUUUGUGUUUUCAUUU
This 418-nucleotide long non-coding RNA is filed under the name Mytilus galloprovincialis (Mediterranean mussel). The record is from RNAcentral. Lineage: Eukaryota; Metazoa; Mollusca; Bivalvia; Mytilida; Mytilidae.